This 406-nucleotide ribosomal RNA is filed under the name Escherichia coli. RNAcentral's name for it is "partial 23S ribosomal RNA". It matches the Rfam family "Bacterial large subunit ribosomal RNA", at positions 1343 to 1751 of the family's 2925-position model. The record is from RNAcentral. Lineage: Bacteria; Pseudomonadati; Pseudomonadota; Gammaproteobacteria; Enterobacterales; Enterobacteriaceae.
GACCAAGGGUUCCUGUCCAACGUUAAUCGGGGCAGGGUGAGUCGACCCCUAAGGCGAGGCCGAAAGGCGUAGUCGAUGGGAAACAGGUUAAUAUUCCUGUACUUGGUGUUACUGCGAAGGGGGGACGGAGAAGGCUAUGUUGGCCGGGCGACGGUUGUCCCGGUUUAAGCGUGUAGGCUGGUUUUCCAGGCAAAUCCGGAAAAUCAAGGCUGAGGCGUGAUGACGAGGCACUACGGUGCUGAAGCAACAAAUGCCCUGCUUCCAGGAAAAGCCUCUAAGCAUCAGGUAACAUCAAAUCGUACCCCAAACCGACACAGGUGGUCAGGUAGAGAAUACCAAGGCGCUUGAGAGAACUCGGGUGAAGGAACUAGGCAAAAUGGUGCCGUAACUUCGGGAGAAGGCACGC